RNAcentral lists this ribosomal RNA (274 nucleotides) under uncultured bacterium. RNAcentral's name for it is "partial 16S ribosomal RNA". It matches the Rfam family "Bacterial small subunit ribosomal RNA", at positions 523 to 796 of the family's 1533-position model. The record is from RNAcentral.
AUACGGAGGGUGCAAGCGUUGUUCGGAAUCACUGGGCGUAAAGGGCGCGCAGGCGGUUUGGUAAGUCAGAUGUGAAAGCCCACGGCUCAGCCGUGGAAGUGCAUUUGAAACUGUCAGACUUGAGUACUAGAGGGGAAAGUGGAAUUCCCGGUGUAGAGGUGAAAUUCGUAGAUAUCGGGAGGAAUACCGGUGGCGAAGGCGACUUUCUGGCUAGAUACUGACGCUGAGGCGCGAAAGCGUGGGGAGCAAACAGGAUUAGAAACCCUAGUAGUCC